CGGGGAGUAAAACACAUUUGCAAUAAGAAAAAGUUAAACUUCAUUUUUUUUCCAUUUAAAUACAUGGAGGCAAAGGUAAUGUAUAUAUUUUUGUAUUUUCGUUUCUUGCACAUUUUAUGGAACGCAUGAAUUUUGGUUGUGCAACUAAGGGAGUGGAGAUGGCUCUUUUUCCACGGGGGCUAUGAUACAGAAAGCAAUUUCAAAUUGGGAGGUGAACCUGGCUCUAAGACAUCUUAACUUAGGUGGAGGAGAGGAUAGAUUGUUGCCUAACUAUAUUUCACGGGCCAAUGGAAGUGAUGUAUAAUACAUGAGAAAUAAAGAGACUCCAGAGCACGUGAAACAAAACCCACUCCUAAAUAUGAUAAGCUAAUAGCUAAAAUAGAUGUUAAGUUUCUUUGCUUGUCUUAGGGGAAAAAGUUUAUUGUUGAUAAUUGAUUCUAAGAGCAUGAUCAGGUAGCUCAAUUUGAAUCUAUGCAUUUUUACAUGGAUUUCUU
This 494-nucleotide long non-coding RNA is filed under the name Setaria viridis. Its description in RNAcentral is "long non-coding RNA (SVIR_LNC005024)". The record is from RNAcentral. Lineage: Eukaryota; Viridiplantae; Streptophyta; Magnoliopsida; Poales; Poaceae.